CAGUAGCCGCGGGAAUACGUAGGUGGCAAGCGUUGUCCGGAAUUAUUGGGCGUAAAGGGUGCGUAGGCGGUUUGGCAAGUUUCGUGUGAAAACUUCGGGCUCAACCCGAAGCCUGCACGGAAAACUGCCGGGCUUGAGUAUGGGAGAGGUGAGUGGAAUUUCCGGUGUAGCGGUGAAAUGCGUAGAUAUCGGAAGGAACACCUGUGGCGAAAGCGGCUCACUGGACCAUAACUGACGCUGAGGCACGAAAGCUAGGGGAGCAAACAGGAUUAGAUACCCCCGUAGUCCCUGUCUCUUAUAC
Molecule: ribosomal RNA, 301 nt
Filed under: uncultured bacterium
Lineage: Bacteria
Description: partial 16S ribosomal RNA
Rfam family: Bacterial small subunit ribosomal RNA
Source: RNAcentral